UUUUUUUUUUGAGCUCACUUGCUUCUCGCUGCAAGCGUUUCCAUGCACGAACCAUACUCUGAUAAGCACAAGGAACCAAAAUUCCCAUGACCACAUGGGAGUCUCCCAACCCCAUCUUACAGAUGGGUGACUGAGGAUGGGAGAGGUGAAAGGACCAUCCUAGAUUAAUAAGGGGCACAGGCAGAGUGAGUGACCCCAGAACCCUAACCCCAGAAGGGCUCCCACAGCCUCAUUCUGGGGCGCCAACCCCAAGACCCACUCUGCCCUGGCUGUGAAUUGACUCAUGCCACAGAGGAGUUACAGGGCCCAUCUAGGCCAGUGAGAUCCUGCUAUCCUACCAAUACCAAGGGGCCUGGAGCUGCUAGCAUCCUGUAUGCAUGAAUCUGGUUUCUACAUGAUAACCUCUGGGCUCAUACCUACCACUAGGUCAAAUCGCAGCUGUGGCUCUAACUUGCCCCACAGCCCUGGUCUUCUCUCUCCUGGUCCCAGUGCCAAAUGACAAGGACCCAGGAAGCUGAGGGUCCAUAUAAAGGAUGAAGUGAGAUCUCGUCAACUCCUCCAUGCUGGCAGCCUGGGGCCUCAAGUAUCUCUGAAAGCCCCAGGAUUCUGACUUUCCUAUGUGUGAGGCAUGAGGAAGAGGCUCCAAAAGGGCUCAGAUCAAGACCUGAGGAGCUGGCCUUUGAAGCUAAGAACACUAAGCCACACACACCAUCCUAUAGACAGCAUGUAGACCACGUCUCCCUUCCCAGGGUGUCCUCCUCCUCAGACACACACAGGGAGGACCAGAGCUGGAGUAGAGGGUGAGGGGGUGGGUUGUUAGGAAGACACCGCCACAGCCUGCUGGCCGCAAGUAUAGAGACGGGUACCACCUUCUAAAAUCCCCCUGGGACCCCUCCCCAGCCACCUGCAUCCACAGAGCACCUGGAUGUCUGAUGGCUCUGGCCUUUACUAGCCCUGAUUCUCAUCCCGGAAAUAGGUCCGCUGGUCUCAUCUGCUGCCAUGGGCCAGGCUUUGCAUAGAGGGUGUUUGAGAAAGCUGGAGAAUCCCACCAGCCUUCUGCCCCUUCUUUCUGUGUGUCUCCUUCCUGGCUAGUCCUGUGCUCCUCUGUUCCCUGACCUCUUCUUGCAGCCUCAAGUCUUUCUCUUUUUUUCUCCACAGCACUUACAGAACCCCGCCAACUUCCACAAUGCUGCUACAGAGCUGCUGGAUUGGUGUGGAGACCCUCGAGCCUUCCAGAGGCCCUUUGAGCAGAGCCUCAUGGGCUGCCUGACGGUGAGUCUUCAACUUCCCCUUCAUAGCACACUGGGAAGCAUGGCCCUGGGGUCAGAAGUCCUGCCCACAUACCUUUCUGUGGGCCCCAAAUGCUGGGGGAACAGCUGCCCGUGCUGCAAGCUGGCCCUGCAGGGGCACACAACCCCACUGCCAGGUCUGAUAUGGAGACCGUCUUUAUGGGAUGUGUGGCUUCCUCACACUUGAUGAGAAGCACACAGUGGGGACCAGUGCUCCCUCAGAGGCAGGGGAGCUCGGAGGACUCAGCCUUCUUUUCCCAAGGCCAUUUAUUCCUUUAUCGGCUGAGCAUUUAUUGAGCUUCGCUCUGGUUGUCUGUCUGUCCACUCAAGAGCAGGUAUAGAGCCCCUGUGACAUUCAUCCGUCUGGACAAAUAGACCUUGAUUGAUCCCUCAUUUAUCACUUGUGGUCCCCUCUGCCAAGUCCUGGAUACCCCC
This 1724-nucleotide long non-coding RNA is filed under the name Mus musculus (house mouse). RNAcentral describes it as "long non-coding RNA chr14:25574972-25576696". Lineage: Eukaryota; Metazoa; Chordata; Mammalia; Rodentia; Muridae. The record is from RNAcentral.